Molecule: ribosomal RNA, 413 nt
Filed under: uncultured Glomus
Lineage: Eukaryota; Fungi; Glomeromycota; Glomeromycetes; Glomerales; Glomeraceae
Description: SSU rRNA
Rfam family: Eukaryotic small subunit ribosomal RNA
Source: RNAcentral
AGCAGCCGCGGUAAUUCCAGCUCCAAUAGCGUAUAUUAAAGUUGUUGCAGUUAAAAAGCUCGUAGUUGAAUUUCGGGAUCAGUUGAUCGGUCGUGCCUCGGUACGUACUGGUCAAAUUGAUUCCUACCUUCUGACGAACCACGAUGUCAUUAAUUUGGUGUCGUGGGAAAUCAGGACUGUUACUUUGAAAAAUUAGAGUGUUUAAAGCAGGCUCGCGCUUGAAUACAUUAGCAUGGAAUAAUGAAAUAGGACGUUUGAUUCUAUUUUUGUUGGUUUUCUAGGAUCGACGUAAUGAUUAAUAGGGAUAGUUGGGGGCAUUAGUAUUCAAUUGUCAGAGGUGAAAUUCUUGGAUUUAUUGAAGACUAACUACUGCGUAAAGCAUUUGCCAAGGAUGUUUUCAUUAAUCAAGACGA